AAUGGGUCAGCGACUUAUAUUCUGUAGCAAGGUUAACCGAAUAGGGGAGCCGAAGGGAAACCGAGUCUUAACUGGGCGUUAAGUUGCAGGGUAUAGACCCGAAACCCGGUGAUCUAGCCAUGGGCAGGUUGAAGGUUGGGUAACACUAACUGGAGGACCGAACCGACUAAUGUUGAAAAAUUAGCGGAUGACUUGUGGCUGGGGGUGAAAGGCCAAUCAAACCGGGAGAUAGCUGGUUCUCCCCGAAAGCUAUUUAGGUAGCGCCUCGUGAAUUCAUCUCCGGGGGUAGAGCACUGUUUCGGCAAGGGGGUCAUCCCGACUUACCAACCCGAUGCAAACUGCGAAUACCGGAGAAUGUUAUCACGGGAGACACACGGCGGGUGCUAACGUCCGUCGUGAAGAGGGAAACAACCCAGACCGCCAGCUAAGGUCCCAAAGUCAUGGUUAAGUGGGAAACGAUGUGGGAAGGCCCAGACAGCCAGGAUGUUGGCUUAGAAGCAGCCAUCAUUUAAAGAAAGCGUAAUAGCUCACUGGUCGAGUCGGCCUGCGCGGAAGAUGUAACGGGGCUAAACCAUGCACCGAAGCUGCGGCAGCGACGCUUAUGCGUUGUUGGGUAGGGGAGCGUUCUGUAAGCCUGUGAAGGUGUGCUGUGAGGCAUGCUGGAGGUAUCAGAAGUGCGAAUGCUGACAUAAGUAACGAUAAAGCGGGUGAAAAGCCCGCUCGCCGGAAGACCAAGGGUUCCUGUCCAACGUUAAUCGGGGCAGGGUGAGUCGACCCCUAAGGCGAGGCCGAAAGGCGUAGUCGAUGGGAAACAGGUUAAUAUUCCUGUACUUGGUGUUACUGCGAAGGGGGGACGGAGAAGGCUAUGUUGGCCGGGCG
RNAcentral lists this ribosomal RNA (879 nucleotides) under Escherichia coli. Its description in RNAcentral is "partial 23S ribosomal RNA". It matches the Rfam family "Bacterial large subunit ribosomal RNA", at positions 614 to 1497 of the family's 2925-position model. The record is from RNAcentral. Lineage: Bacteria; Pseudomonadati; Pseudomonadota; Gammaproteobacteria; Enterobacterales; Enterobacteriaceae.